CAGAUUCAAGUCCAACUUUAGGUACCUGAAUUAUGAGCAAGUGUAGGUGCAAAUUUAGGUGUGAGCAAGGAAGGGGAACACUUAGAAAAGAACAAUUAAGAAAGCAUUAAGGAUGCAGGUGCCAAACUGCAAGGCAUUGAAUAGGUUCUCAAUUGAUUGUGUAGCUAAACAGCAAAUAGACUAAAGAUAUGAGGAUAUCAAAUUUUAUAUAAGAUCUAAAGCUUCCAUCCACUUCAUCUACCUAGAUAUAUCUGCUCAAUAGCUAUUGCCAUAGUGACCAUGUAAUGAUUAUGACAAGUGAUCUCCAUCUAUCCACUAUUUCUAUCUUGAACAAUAAUAUAUGUGCUGUAUAUUAGAACCUUAUUGAGAAAUAAUAUCUUUGCCUUUGCCUCAAUAAAAAUUUAUAGAGCACCGAUCUUUAUCAAUAAGAAUGUUGGUGUUGGAAUACCCUAGGGUUAUGAAAGACCUAAUGCUGCCUGCAGGAUUCUUCAAGGUGGAGAUCAAGUGACAACAAGCACAUAUUUUAUGCAUAAUUCAAUAGGAGAACAAGAAAAUAAUAAACCAUAAGAAAAUCAUGGAAACUAGGUUACAUCCAUAGGGCAAGUUGGAAAUCUACGAUGUAAUAUAAUAAUAGAAAUACAAAGUUUUCAUAAAGGUUAAACCAAGAAAAAUCACCUUUUACUAACAACCUCUACUACUACCAUAUUUCAUCAUGUUUACUUGAGAGAACCAGAAGAGAGACCGACACCAAGGGACCUUGCGAGAACUAGCAAUACAAGAGAAGUCCAAUCUGAAAAAUAUGAGAACUCAAGCCAUGUGAAUUGAAAAACCAACCCAGAAGAUGGGGAGAUUCACAUAAGAGCAAGUCACUCUUCUUUUCUCUCCUGCUCACUUUCUUUUUAUCUUCCAUUCCCUAUCCCUCUUUCAUUUUCAUUUUCUUUCUCUAUUACUCUUCCAUUUAGUCAUGCCCCUAAUGUCACAUCAUGGGCCUUGGGGCCUUGCACACCAUCUCAUGAUAAUGUGGACUGUACUCUCUCUUAUAAAGUAGAGAGGCAGCGCCUCUCUACUUCUUAGUUGUACCUUGUGUAUGAGUUCCUUUUGCACUCAUGCCGUGCUUUGCUAGUGACAAUAAGAGCCACUAUUUUCAACAUGCUUUACCUAGCCUUCUAUUUCCAAACAACCUAAAGAAUCACUAGAAGCCUUGAGUUGCCAUCUCUCAAACAAUUGGUCACCUUGGUUGUAUUAGCUUGUUCAACCCUCUUGUGGAAAGUCCUUGAAAUUCCUAAGCCUACCACCAUAAUUGUGAAGACCCGUGCGGGCGUGUGUUUAGUCCCACAUUGGUUAUUCCCUGGGUAGAUCUUGGAUACUUAUACAGGAUCAAGAAAUCCAAAUAAUACCUUCUAGCUAGUCAUUUUGGAUGAGGUCUUGGGUUCUUACAAAUGGUAUCAGAGCGGAUCCGGCCUAUAACCUAUGUGAACUAGGGGACACUGCAGCAUGGAUCUAUUGGGGCUGACCACGGGCUGAUCGUGGUGUUUUUGAUUAGAUUUGAAUGAAUUUGAAGUAGCCUGACGAGGACGUCAGGACUUGAAUGGAGGGAGUAUGUGAGAACCCGUGCGGACGUGUGUUUAGUCCCACAUCGGUUAUUCACUGGGUAGAUCUUGGAUACUUAUANNNNNNNNNNNNNNNNNNNNNNNNNNNNNNNNNNNNNUUUUGGGUGAGGUCCUGGGUUGUUACACUAUGGUUUUAGGACUCUUUUUCUUAUUUGAUUAGAACUAGUAUAGGCCUUACUGGAUAUCAUCUCAAACUACUAGCCAAAUCGAAUUUGUGAAUUGAAGGCUAGGCAAUCUCUUAAGAUGUCGCAUUGCUGACCAUCAAGAAUCAUGGGAUUCUCAUUUCCUCUUGCCCAGUUUGCCUACAACAAUUCCAUCAACUAUUUUACCGGUUGUUCUCCUUUUCAAAUGGUUGCAGGCAAGGUUCGCCGUACCGGUACCGAACCCCGUACCGGUGCCGCACUAGUAUAGGCGUACCUGUAGAAAAAAUUAA
Molecule: long non-coding RNA, 2043 nt
Filed under: Phoenix dactylifera (date palm)
Lineage: Eukaryota; Viridiplantae; Streptophyta; Magnoliopsida; Arecales; Arecaceae
Description: long non-coding RNA (PDAC_LNC006704)
Source: RNAcentral